CGAAGCGACGUCAAAGCGUAUACAAAGUCGAGUCGGUUUAAGGAUACGUUCGUUGGGUAGGGGAGCGUUCUGUAAGCCUGCGAAGGUGGCCUGUGAGGGUUGCUGGAGGUAUCAGAAGUGCGAAUGCUGACAUAAGUAACGAUAAAGCGGGUGAAAAGCCCGCUCGCCGGAAGACCAAGGGUUCCUGUCCAACGUUAAUCGGGGCAGGGUGAGUCGACCCCUAAGGCGAGGCCGAAAGGCGUAGUCGAUGGGAAACGGGUUAAUAUUCCCGUACUUGGUGUUACUGCGAAGGGGGGACGGAGAAGGCUAUGUUGGCCGGGCGACGGUUGUCCCGGUUUAAGCGUGUAGGUGUGUGUUCCAGGUAAAUCCGGUUCACUUUAACACUGAGGCGUGACGACGAGGCACUACGGUGCUGAAGCAACAAAUGCCCUGCUUCCAGGAAAAGCCUCUAAGCAUCAGGUAACAUCAAAUCGUACCCCAAACCGACACAGGUGGUCAGGUAGAGAAUACCAAGGCGCUUGAGAGAACUCGGGUGAAGGAACUAGGCAAAAUGGUGCCGUAACUUCGGGAGAAGGCACGCUGACACGUAGGUGAAGUGAUUUACUCACGGAGCUGAAGUCAGUCGAAGAUACCAGCUGGCUGCAACUGUUUAUUAAAAACACAGCACUGUGCAAACACGAAAGUGGACGUAUACGGUGUGACGCCUGCCCGGUGCCGGAAGGUUAAUUGAUGGGGUCAGCGCAAGCGAAGCUCCUGAUCGAAGCCCCGGUAAACGGCGGCCGUAACUAUAACGGUCCUAAGGUAGCGAAAUUCCUUGUCGGGUAAGUUCCGACCUGCACGAAUGGCGUAAUGAUGGCCAGGCUGUCUCCACCCGAGACUCAGUGAAAUUGAACUCGCUGUGAAGAUGCAGUGUACCCGCGGCAAGACGGAAAGACCCCGUGAACCUUUACUAUAGCUUGACACUGAACAUUGAGCCUUGAUGUGUAGGAUAGGUGGGAGGCUUUGAAGCGUGGACGCCAGUCUGCGUGGAGCCGACCUUGAAAUACCACCCUUUAAUGUUUGAUGUUCUAACGUGGACCCGUAAUCCGGGUUGCGGACAGUGUCUGGUGGGUAGUUUGACUGGGGCGGUCUCCUCCUAAAGAGUAACGGAGGAGCACGAAGGUUGGCUAAUCCUGGUCGGACAUCAGGAGGUUAGUGCAAUGGCAUAAGCCAGCUUGACUGCGAGCGUGACGGCGCGAGCAGGUGCGAAAGCAGGUCAUAGUGAUCCGGUGGUUCUGAAUGGAAGGGCCAUCGCUCAACGGAUAAAAGGUACUCCGGGGAUAACAGGCUGAUACCGCCCAAGAGUUCAUAUCGACGGCGGUGUUUGGCACCUCGAUGUCGGCUCAUCACAUCCUGGGGCUGAAGUAGGUCCCAAGGGUAUGGCUGUUCGCCAUUUAAAGUGGUACGCGAGCUGGGUUUAGAACGUCGUGAGACAGUUCGGUCCCUAUCUGCCGUGGGCGCUGGAGAACUGAGGGGGGCUGCUCCUAGUACGAGAGGACCGGAGUGGACGCAUCACUGGUGUUCGGGUUGUCAUGCCAAUGGCACUGCCCGGUAGCUAAAUGCGGAAGAGAUAAGUGCUGAAAGCAUCUAAGCACGAAACUUGCCCCGAGAUGAGUUCUCCCUGAGACUUAGAGUCUCCUGAAGGAACGUUGAAGACGACGACGUUGAUAGGCCGGGUGUGUAAGCGCAGCGAUGCGUUGAGCUAACCGGUACUAAUGAACCGUGAGGCUUAACCUUACA
RNAcentral lists this ribosomal RNA (1779 nucleotides) under Salmonella enterica. RNAcentral's name for it is "partial 23S ribosomal RNA". It matches the Rfam family "Bacterial large subunit ribosomal RNA", at positions 1195 to 2925 of the family's 2925-position model. The record is from RNAcentral. Lineage: Bacteria; Pseudomonadati; Pseudomonadota; Gammaproteobacteria; Enterobacterales; Enterobacteriaceae.